Molecule: non-coding RNA, 420 nt
Organism: Sorex araneus (European shrew)
Lineage: Eukaryota; Metazoa; Chordata; Mammalia; Eulipotyphla; Soricidae
Source: the annotation of a RefSeq genome assembly
AUGGCCUGGCCUCCUGUCCUCCUCCUCUUCCUGCUAGCUCAGUACCCAGGCUCCUGGGCGCAGACUGGACUGACUCAGGAAGUAUCAGUGUCAGGGUCUGUGGGACAGACAGUCACCCUCACCUGCACUGGAACCAGCAGCAAUGUUGGUACCAAUGGUGCAGGCUGGUACCAGCAGAUUCCUGGUGCUGCCCCCAAAAUUGUGAUGUAUGGAAGUACUCGACCUACCGGGAUCCCAGAUCGAUUCACGGGGUCCAAAUCUGGAAACAAGGCCUCUCUGACAAUCUCAGGCGUGCAGCCUGAGGAUGAGGCUGAUUAUUACUGUGCUUCAUAUGACUUCAAUAUCUACAAUGCCACAGUGCUUCAGACUCAAGGGGAAAUGAGACAAAAACCCAGCCCAGUUUUAGGUGACAUCCCAUGA